RNAcentral lists this ribosomal RNA (468 nucleotides) under uncultured bacterium. RNAcentral describes it as "partial 16S ribosomal RNA". It matches the Rfam family "Bacterial small subunit ribosomal RNA", at positions 28 to 507 of the family's 1533-position model. The record is from RNAcentral.
GAUGAACGCUGGCGGCGUGCCUAAUACAUGCAAGUCGAGCGGACAGACGAGGCUCUUGCUGCUCUCUCGUUAGGCGCGGACGGGUGAGUAACACGUGGAUAACCCCCUUAUCAGUGGGGUAUAUCCACGGGACACGGGAGAAUAUAGGGGAUGAGCUCUUGCAGCAUGGUGUGGGAUGGAAAGAUUCGGCGGUGGGGGAUGGACUCGCGGCAUAUCAGCUUGUUGGUGGGGUAGUGGCGUACCAAGGCUUUGACGGGUAGCCGGCCUGAGAGGGUGACCGGCCACAUUGGGACUGAGAUACGGCCCAGACUCCUACGGGAGGCAGCAGUGGGGAAUAUUGCACAAUGGGCGGAAGCAUGAUGCAGCAACGCCGCGUGCGGGAUGACGGCCUUCGGGUUGUAAACCGCUUUCGCCUGUGACGAAGCGUGAGUGACGGUAAUGGGUAAAGAAGCACCGGCUAACUACGUG